AUCUUCAUUGGUUUCAUUCAAGAUGUCGUAAUGAGUGAUUUCCAAAAUAUAUUUUCAGGUAUGCAUACGGCAUUGAUAUAGCCAAAAACGUUGCUUCGAACUUUUUUGAAAUGUUUCGGACAUGUGUUCAAUUUCCUAUGCCGAACAACAAACGAUUUCAAACUGAUUUACAAAGUUUCAUCAACUUUCCAUCCAAAACCACAGUUGGGUUCGCGCCAAGAUUUACAAGCAACCGCAAGUUUUUUGGAAAUAUGAUUAGUAACACAGCUUUCAAAGAAAUGAUAACGAAAGACGAGGAAUACAUUACGAAUAAUUUUGUUGAAAAAUUGAAGUUCUGCGAUGCUGCUGUAAUGGACCAAGAAUUCUUAAAGUUCUAUUACGAUCGAGAUAUUGAUCAGUUCCAAGUUUAAUAAUGUUAAAAACUGUUAAUAAGAAAGACUUCAUUAGUAAUAAAUUAAUGAAUAAGUAAAAUUAGAAAUAA
Long non-coding RNA from Bombyx mori (domestic silkworm), 481 nucleotides. RefSeq lists it as uncharacterized. The record is from RefSeq and is a predicted model, not a curated record. The transcript is spliced from 2 exons. NCBI's taxonomy places the organism in Eukaryota, Metazoa, Arthropoda, Insecta, Lepidoptera, Bombycidae.